CCGCUCCUGGGGGGCCUGCCCAGCCUCCACCCACCCCUCAACCCUCCAUGGCUGAUCUUCAGUUCUCUCAGCUUCUGGGGAACCUGCUAGGGCCUGCAGGGCCAGGGGCUGGAGGGUCUGGUGUGGCUUCUCCCACCAUCACUGUGGCGAUGCCUGGUGUCCCUGCCUUUCUCCAAGGCAUGACUGACUUCUUGCAGGUGAGUGGCUGGCUUGCCAUUCACCUCAUCUUCCUGUCCCCCGGCCCAGCCAGGCAGUGGUACCUUCUUGCCAUUAUAUAACCACUGGGUAAGAGCCCCUAGUGACAUGUUAGGGGAAGGGGCCCUGGGAAUUCAUUGACUCUGAACCUUUCAUUUUAAAGAUGAAGAAAAUGAGGUUUAGAAAAAGAAAGUAUAGUAAUUAGUGUCACUGCUUUCUGACAGCCUGUUCAGAGGAAGAGGUAGGUAAGUUGUGCUGCCUGACUCUGUUAAAUACCUACCAUACUUCUGCUUUAAGCAGUGAAGAUCAGAAUGUAACUCCCCAUCUUCCCAGACCCGUUGGUUUGUGCCCUCUUGAUGCCGUAUUAUUUCCGUGUGUCUUCAUUCUCACCUCACUUUCUGUUCUUUGUUCUUUCUUUAUUUGCCAGGCAACACAGACAGCCCCUCCACCACCCCCACCUCCUCCACCCCCACCACCUGCCCCAGAGCAGCAGACCAUGCCCCCACCAGGCUCCCCUUCUGGUGGCGCAGGGAGUCCUGGAGGCCUGGGUCUUGAGAGCCUGUCACCGGAGUUUUUUACCUCAGUGGUGCAGGGUGUGCUCAGCUCCCUGCUGGGCUCCCUGGGGGCUCGGGCUGGCAGCAGUGAAAGUAUUGCUGCCUUCAUACAACGCCUCAGUGGAUCCAGCAACAUCUUUGAGCCUGGAGCUGAUGGGGCCCUUGGAUUCUUUGGG
RNAcentral lists this long non-coding RNA (925 nucleotides) under Homo sapiens (human). RNAcentral describes it as "long non-coding RNA NONHSAT208986.1". Lineage: Eukaryota; Metazoa; Chordata; Mammalia; Primates; Hominidae. The record is from RNAcentral.